ACAGUAUAAUGAAAUACUAACCAACGGGACUAGAGCAUUCACAGGAAGAAAUGUAACAACCAACGACAGAACAGCAUGAUACUGUGAUCAGCUCGCCCAGCACUGGAGAAUUUAUGCCGUGUCAUCUUUGGCCGUAGGGAUUUUGGCCACACCAUGAGACCUGUAUCUCGGCGGGGCUUAUCUAGUUCCGAGAGAAACAGAACAAAAGACGGUUUCUGGAUAAGAACAGGCUUUUGUUACAGAGAUAAUCUGGAGUGUUUAUAAUCAACAUAACAAGAGGAGAGAAUCCACAUAAAAUUCCACACCCUAGCCAUUUUAAGGAAAAGGGCUGACUUCAAAACUGGAUUUCGGGAGAAAUGCAGUCCUUGGGAACCUGAUGUCAGGAGAAGAAAUUAAUGGAAAAUGUCGUGAGGCCUAGAAGCCAAAAGAGCAAACUUUUUAUCUAUAUUCUUGAGUAACUGGAAAGCAAAAACCUCAAAUAUUUCCCUUUAAAUAUAACUAUAGUUAUACUUCAUUCCUAUCUACCAUAUAAAUAUACCAUGUAAAAUGGAUAUACCAAGUAUGUGGAAUAUAAUAAAUCCCCAUAAAAUGGGGAUGAUAAUUCCAAACUUAUAAAGAUUUUGUGAAGAUUAAAGCACUAUUAAAACCUGG
Molecule: long non-coding RNA, 651 nt
Organism: Mustela erminea (ermine)
Lineage: Eukaryota; Metazoa; Chordata; Mammalia; Carnivora; Mustelidae
Exons: 3
Source: RefSeq, a predicted model, not a curated record